CCUCACUUGACCCGCUGCAG
RNAcentral lists this microRNA (20 nucleotides) under Mus musculus (house mouse). Its description in RNAcentral is "mmu-miR-6939-3p". Lineage: Eukaryota; Metazoa; Chordata; Mammalia; Rodentia; Muridae. The record is from miRBase by way of RNAcentral.